GACGAACGCUGGCGGCGUGCUUAACACAUGCAAGUCGAACGGAAAGGCCCUGCUUUUGUGGGGUGCUCGCGUGGCGAACGGGUGAGUAACACGUGAGUAACCUUCCCUUUACUUUGGGAUAACUUCAGGCAACUGGUGCUACUACCUGCUAGGAGCUCCUGCUGCAUGGUGGUGUUUGGAAAUUUUCGGCUGUUGUGGAUCGACGUGGGGCUUAUCAGCUUGUUGGUGGGGUAGUGGCUUACCAAGGCUUUGACGGGUAGCCGGCCUGAGAGGGUGACCGGCGACAUGGGGACUGAGAUACGGCGCAGACUCCAACGGGAGGCAGCAGUGGGGAACAUUGUACAAUGGGCGGAAGCGUGAUGCAGAGAUGCCGCGAGCGGGAUGAAGGCCUUCGGGUUGUAAACCGCAUUAGCUUGUGACGAAGCGUGAGUGACGGUAAUAGGUAAAGAAGCACCGGCUAACUACGUG
This 468-nucleotide ribosomal RNA is filed under the name uncultured bacterium. Its description in RNAcentral is "partial 16S ribosomal RNA". It matches the Rfam family "Bacterial small subunit ribosomal RNA", at positions 28 to 507 of the family's 1533-position model. The record is from RNAcentral.